GGUCGGCCUCGGCGGCGGCGGGCAUCACGCGGCCUCCCGCGCCGCCGGCGUCGGCGGCGGCCGCCGGGUCGGGGGCUCCGCCGCCGCCGCCGCCGCC
RNAcentral lists this transfer RNA (97 nucleotides) under Caldovatus sediminis. RNAcentral's name for it is "tRNA-Gly". Lineage: Bacteria; Pseudomonadati; Pseudomonadota; Alphaproteobacteria; Acetobacterales; Roseomonadaceae. The record is from RNAcentral.